Molecule: non-coding RNA, 45 nt
Organism: Schistosoma margrebowiei
Lineage: Eukaryota; Metazoa; Platyhelminthes; Trematoda; Strigeidida; Schistosomatidae
Source: Rfam
AUCCAUCUGACGAGUCCUAAAUAGGACGAAACGCGCUACCUGGUU